ACCUACGGGGGGCAGCAGUAGGGAGUUUUCGUCAAUGGGCGCAAGCCUGAACGAGCAAUGCCGCGUGAACGAGGAAGGUCUUCGGAUCGUAAAGUUCUGUUGAAGGGGAAAAAGAGCGGAGAGAGGAAAUGGUCUCCGAUUGAUAUUACCCUUCGAGGAAGUCACGGCUAACUACGUGCCAGCAGCCGCGGUAAUACGUAGGUGGCGAGCGUUAUCCGGAAUGAUUGGGCGUAAAGGGUGCGUAGGCGGCCUGCUAAGUUUGGAGUGAAAGGUACCGGCUCAACCGGUACAGGCUCUGGAAACUG
This 305-nucleotide ribosomal RNA is filed under the name uncultured bacterium. RNAcentral describes it as "bacterial SSU rRNA". It matches the Rfam family "Bacterial small subunit ribosomal RNA", at positions 337 to 635 of the family's 1533-position model. The record is from RNAcentral.